GGUUGGGUAGCUCAGCGGAAGAGCAUCCCUGUACAGUCGGGAGAGUCCCAGGUUUGAUUCCUGGUCUGACCU
Tulasnella sp. 419 is the source of this 72-nucleotide non-coding RNA. Lineage: Eukaryota; Fungi; Basidiomycota; Agaricomycetes; Cantharellales; Tulasnellaceae. The record is from the annotation of a GenBank genome assembly.